RNAcentral lists this ribosomal RNA (289 nucleotides) under uncultured bacterium. RNAcentral describes it as "partial 16S ribosomal RNA". It matches the Rfam family "Bacterial small subunit ribosomal RNA", at positions 335 to 620 of the family's 1533-position model. The record is from RNAcentral.
GUCCCUACGGGGCGCAGCAGUGAGGAAUAUUGGUCAAUGGGCGCAAGCCUGAACCAGCCAAGUCGCGUGAGGGAUGACGGUCCUAUGGAUUGUAAACCUCUUUUGUCGGGGAGCAAGGCCCGCCACGUGUGGCGGGAAGGAGAGGACCCGAAGAAAAAGCAUCGGCUAACUCCGGGCCAGCAGCCGCGGGAAUACGGAGGAUGCGAGCGUUAUCCGGAUUUAUUGGGUUUAAAGGGUGCGUAGGCGGAAGGGUAAGUCAGCGGUCAAAUGUCGGGGGUCAACACCGGGC